GGCCAGACUCCUACGGGAGGCAGCAGUGAGGAAUAUUGGUCAAUGGCCGAGAGGCUGAACCAGCCAAGUCGCGUGAGGGACGACGGCCCUACGGGUUGUAAACCUCUUUUGCCGGGGGACAAACGGCGGCACGCGUGCCGUCCUGAGGGUACCCGGAGAAAAAGCAUCGGCUAACUCCGUGCCAGCAGCCGCGGUAAUACGGAGGAUGCGAGCGUUAUCCGGAUUUAUUGGGUUUAAAGGGUGCGUAGGCGGAAUGCCAAGUCAGCGGUAAAAUCGCGGGGCUCAACCUCGCUCCGCCGUUGAAACUGGCGUUCUUGAGUGGGCGAGAAGUAUGCGGAAUGCGUGGUGUAGCGGUGAAAUGCAUAGAUAUCACGCAGAACUCCGAUUGCGAAGGCAGCAUACCGGCGCCCAACUGACGCUGAAGCGCGAAAGCGUGGGUAUCGAACAGGAUUAGAUACCCCAGUA
Molecule: ribosomal RNA, 465 nt
Filed under: uncultured bacterium
Lineage: Bacteria
Description: bacterial SSU rRNA
Rfam family: Bacterial small subunit ribosomal RNA
Source: RNAcentral